UUUUGGUUAUUAACAUCUGACUUGUUUAGAUUGUGAUCGGGGAAUACAGUCUGUGUACACAUUGUGGUGGAAGCUAUGACUACUGCACAGCUUCCUCUUCUGGAACGAAGGAGUUAGUCUCCCAGCUUCUGGGAGAGCUGCUGGAGGAUGGCCCCAGCUGUCUGCUCUCCUAGGAAGUUAUGUGGGCUAAGGAGAUUGCCUUGCCCGAUCAAGACCAUGCUUCCUUCAAUGAACAGCCUGCAUGCAAUGGCUGCUCAGGGUGGGAGUGUAAAAGACUGGUUUGUUACCAACUCAAGACCCUUCUGAAGGACCACCCAGCUCCAGCACUCUCCACGGAGCUGGCAGAGGCCUCCGUGGCAUGGCAUGGCAGCACACCUCUUCCUCCGCGCACACCUGCCUCAUCCCAUCCAUUCCACAGGUGCCGAUCCCAGCAGUGUUCCCUAAUAAAAUCCCUGCACCCCAGUCUGCAUCUCAGAGCCUGGCUCCAGGAGAUCCAGCCUACCACCCCAAUCUUUCACAUGCAUUGAGUCUCCUUGAAUCGGCCCAUUCUUUCAUUAUGUGGAACUAAUGAAGGCCUCGCAGAGUCCCCGCUCAGGAAUAGGGCCCUUAAAUAAAACAUGUUUCAUUGAUCAA
Molecule: long non-coding RNA, 633 nt
Organism: Cebus imitator (Panamanian white-faced capuchin)
Lineage: Eukaryota; Metazoa; Chordata; Mammalia; Primates; Cebidae
Exons: 2
Source: RefSeq, a predicted model, not a curated record